CUGAAAUCUCAGUUCAUGCUCCUUUACUUCUUGU
This 34-nucleotide small RNA is filed under the name Bombyx mori (domestic silkworm). RNAcentral's name for it is "ovarian small RNA-14813". Lineage: Eukaryota; Metazoa; Arthropoda; Insecta; Lepidoptera; Bombycidae. The record is from RNAcentral.